Molecule: small nucleolar RNA, 107 nt
Organism: Dioscorea cayenensis subsp. rotundata (Guinea yam)
Lineage: Eukaryota; Viridiplantae; Streptophyta; Magnoliopsida; Dioscoreales; Dioscoreaceae
Source: RefSeq, a predicted model, not a curated record
AUUCCAUGUUGUGGGCAUUUCCUCAACAUCUCCUUGUACCUCUCCCAAGUGUCGUAGAUGGAUUCAUAUUCCAACUGCAGGAAGGAGGAGAUAUCACUCCUCAACUU